GAAUAUUGCGCAAUGGGCGAAAGCCUGACGCAGCAACGCCGCGUGCGCGAAGAAGGCCUUCGGGUCGUAAAGCGCUUUUAGGGCAGAAGAGGAAGGACAGUAGGCCCUGAAUAAGUGUCGGCUAACUACGUGCCAGCAGCCGCGGUAAAACGUAGGACACGAGCGUUAUCCGGAGUUACUGGGCGUAAAGCGCAGGCAGGCGGGCGGCGAAGUCUGACGUGAAAGCUCCUGGCUCAACCGGGAGAGGCCGUUGGAAACUGGCUGGCUGGAGGGUGGUAGAGGCGCGUGGAAUUCCGGGUGGAGUGGUGAAAUACGUAGAGAUCCGGAGGAACACCAGUGGCGAAGGCGGCGCGCUGGGCCACACCUGACGCUGAACUGCGAAAGCAUGGGGAGCGAACGGG
Molecule: ribosomal RNA, 401 nt
Filed under: uncultured bacterium
Lineage: Bacteria
Description: bacterial SSU rRNA
Rfam family: Bacterial small subunit ribosomal RNA
Source: RNAcentral